RNAcentral lists this ribosomal RNA (253 nucleotides) under uncultured bacterium. RNAcentral's name for it is "partial 16S ribosomal RNA". It matches the Rfam family "Bacterial small subunit ribosomal RNA", at positions 524 to 776 of the family's 1533-position model. The record is from RNAcentral.
UACGUAGGGGGCUAGCGUUGUCCGGAAUCAUUGGGCGUAAAGCGCGCGUAGGCGGCCCGGUAAGUCCGCUGUGAAAGUCAAAGGCUCAACCUUUGAAUGUCAGCGGAUACUGCCAGGCUAGAGUCCGGAAGAUGCGAGUGGAACUCCUGGUGUAGCGGUGGAAUGCGCAGAUAUCAGGAGGAACACCAAUUGCGAAGGCAGCUCGCUGGGACGUCACUGACGCUGAGACGCGAAAGCGUGGGGAGCAAACAGG